RNAcentral lists this transfer RNA (85 nucleotides) under Solimonas aquatica. RNAcentral's name for it is "tRNA_Leu_TAA". It matches the Rfam family "tRNA". From Rfam's summary of the family: Transfer RNA (tRNA) molecules are approximately 80 nucleotides in length. Lineage: Bacteria; Pseudomonadati; Pseudomonadota; Gammaproteobacteria; Nevskiales; Nevskiaceae. The record is from RNAcentral.
GCGACCGUGGCGGAAUCGGUAGACGCAGGGGACUUAAAAUCCCCCGCCUUCGGGCGUGCCGGUUCGAUUCCGGCCGGUCGCACCA